Molecule: ribosomal RNA, 251 nt
Filed under: uncultured prokaryote
Description: partial 16S rRNA
Rfam family: Bacterial small subunit ribosomal RNA
Source: RNAcentral
ACGGAGGGUGCAAGCGUUAUUCGGAAUUACUGGGCGUAAAGCGCGUGUAGGCGGCCCUGCAAGUCUGAUGUGAAAGCCCCGGGCUUAACCCGGGAAGUGCAUUGGAAACUGCAGGUCUUGAGUACUGGAGAGGAUGGGGGAAUUCCCGGUGGAGAGGUGAAAUGCGUCGAGAUCGGGAGGAAUAGCAGUGGCGAAGGCGCCCAUCUGGACGGUAGCUGACGCUGAGACGCGAAAGCGUGGGGAGGAAACAG